This 425-nucleotide unclassified non-coding RNA is filed under the name soil metagenome. RNAcentral describes it as "partial contains 5.8S ribosomal RNA, internal transcribed spacer 2, and large subunit ribosomal RNA". The stretch from base 1 to 120 matches the Rfam family "5.8S ribosomal RNA", at positions 35 to 154 of the family's 154-position model. The record is from RNAcentral.
GAUGAAGAACGUAGCGAAAUGCGAUAAGUAGUGUGAAUUGCAGAAUUCCGUGAAUCAUCGAAUCUUUGAACGCACAUUGCGCCUUCUGGUAUUCCGGAAGGCAUGCCUGUUCGAGAGUCAUUAACAACCGUUUCGAUCCCUUUCUUUCAGAAAUUACAAAGAGGAAAAGGGUUUGGUUAUGGUGGAGGAGGGAAAGGGAGCGUUUAGCCUGUAAAAAAAGAGGCUGUGUUCCGCCUCCCCCCCAAAAUUGUACAGGCGGUCGUGUGCGCCCACGCAUCGAGGUGUUGUAAAAGCUGCCACGGCACUUGUCACCUGUGCAGUGCGAGAUUGGCCAGCCGGUUUAAAAACCCCUCCAAACAAUCAAAGGUUGACCUCGGAUCAGGUAGGGAUACCCGCUGAACUUAAGCAUAUCAAUAAGCGGAGGA